Molecule: ribosomal RNA, 2902 nt
Filed under: Escherichia coli
Lineage: Bacteria; Pseudomonadati; Pseudomonadota; Gammaproteobacteria; Enterobacterales; Enterobacteriaceae
Description: bacterial LSU rRNA
Rfam family: Bacterial large subunit ribosomal RNA
Source: RNAcentral
UUAAGCGACUAAGCGUACACGGUGGAUGCCCUGGCAGUCAGAGGCGAUGAAGGACGUGCUAAUCUGCGAUAAGCGUCGGUAAGGUGAUAUGAACCGUUAUAACCGGCGAUUUCCGAAUGGGGAAACCCAGUGUGUUUCGACACACUAUCAUUAACUGAAUCCAUAGGUUAAUGAGGCGAACCGGGGGAACUGAAACAUCUAAGUACCCCGAGGAAAAGAAAUCAACCGAGAUUCCCCCAGUAGCGGCGAGCGAACGGGGAGCAGCCCAGAGCCUGAAUCAGUGUGUGUGUUAGUGGAAGCGUCUGGAAAGGCGCGCGAUACAGGGUGACAGCCCCGUACACAAAAAUGCACAUGCUGUGAGCUCGAUGAGUAGGGCGGGACACGUGGUAUCCUGUCUGAAUAUGGGGGGACCAUCCUCCAAGGCUAAAUACUCCUGACUGACCGAUAGUGAACCAGUACCGUGAGGGAAAGGCGAAAAGAACCCCGGCGAGGGGAGUGAAAAAGAACCUGAAACCGUGUACGUACAAGCAGUGGGAGCACGCUUAGGCGUGUGACUGCGUACCUUUUGUAUAAUGGGUCAGCGACUUAUAUUCUGUAGCAAGGUUAACCGAAUAGGGGAGCCGAAGGGAAACCGAGUCUUAACUGGGCGUUAAGUUGCAGGGUAUAGACCCGAAACCCGGUGAUCUAGCCAUGGGCAGGUUGAAGGUUGGGUAACACUAACUGGAGGACCGAACCGACUAAUGUUGAAAAAUUAGCGGAUGACUUGUGGCUGGGGGUGAAAGGCCAAUCAAACCGGGAGAUAGCUGGUUCUCCCCGAAAGCUAUUUAGGUAGCGCCUCGUGAAUUCAUCUCCGGGGGUAGAGCACUGUUUCGGCAAGGGGGUCAUCCCGACUUACCAACCCGAUGCAAACUGCGAAUACCGGAGAAUGUUAUCACGGGAGACACACGGCGGGUGCUAACGUCCGUCGUGAAGAGGGAAACAACCCAGACCGCCAGCUAAGGUCCCAAAGUCAUGGUUAAGUGGGAAACGAUGUGGGAAGGCCCAGACAGCCAGGAUGUUGGCUUAGAAGCAGCCAUCAUUUAAAGAAAGCGUAAUAGCUCACUGGUCGAGUCGGCCUGCGCGGAAGAUGUAACGGGGCUAAACCAUGCACCGAAGCUGCGGCAGCGACGCUGAUGCGUUGUUGGGUAGGGGAGCGUUCUGUAAGCCUGUGAAGGUGUGCUGUGAGGCAUGCUGGAGGUAUCAGAAGUGCGAAUGCUGACAUAAGUAACGAUAAAGCGGGUGAAAAGCCCGCUCGCCGGAAGACCAAGGGUUCCUGUCCAACGUUAAUCGGGGCAGGGUGAGUCGACCCCUAAGGCGAGGCCGAAAGGCGUAGUCGAUGGGAAACAGGUUAAUAUUCCUGUACUUGGUGUUACUGCGAAGGGGGGACGGAGAAGGCUAUGUUGGCCGGGCGACGGUUGUCCCGGUUUAAGCGUGUAGGCUGGUUUUCCAGGCAAAUCCGGAAAAUCAAGGCUGAGGCGUGAUGACGAGGCACUACGGUGCUGAAGCAACAAAUGCCCUGCUUCCAGGAAAAGCCUCUAAGCAUCAGGUAACAUCAAAUCGUACCCCAAACCGACACAGGUGGUCAGGUAGAGAAUACCAAGGCGCUUGAGAGAACUCGGGUGAAGGAACUAGGCAAAAUGGUGCCGUAACUUCGGGAGAAGGCACGCUGAUAUGUAGGUGAAGCGACUUGCUCGUGGAGCUGAAAUCAGUCGAAGAUACCAGCUGGCUGCAACUGUUUAUUAAAAACACAGCACUGUGCAAACACGAAAGUGGACGUAUACGGUGUGACGCCUGCCCGGUGCCGGAAGGUUAAUUGAUGGGGUCAGCGCAAGCGAAGCUCUUGAUCGAAGCCCCGGUAAACGGCGGCCGUAACUAUAACGGUCCUAAGGUAGCGAAAUUCCUUGUCGGGUAAGUUCCGACCUGCACGAAUGGCGUAAUGAUGGCCAGGCUGUCUCCACCCGAGACUCAGUGAAAUUGAACUCGCUGUGAAGAUGCAGUGUACCCGCGGCAAGACGGAAAGACCCCGUGAACCUUUACUAUAGCUUGACACUGAACAUUGAGCCUUGAUGUGUAGGAUAGGUGGGAGGCUUUGAAGUGUGGACGCCAGUCUGCAUGGAGCCGACCUUGAAAUACCACCCUUUAAUGUUUGAUGUUCUAACGUUGACCCGUGAUCCGGGUUGCGGACAGUGUCUGGUGGGUAGUUUGACUGGGGCGGUCUCCUCCUAAAGAGUAACGGAGGAGCACGAAGGUUGGCUAAUCCUGGUCGGACAUCAGGAGGUUAGUGCAAUGGCAUAAGCCAGCUUGACUGCGAGCGUGACGGCGCGAGCAGGUGCGAAAGCAGGUCAUAGUGAUCCGGUGGUUCUGAAUGGAAGGGCCAUCGCUCAACGGAUAAAAGGUACUCCGGGGAUAACAGGCUGAUACCGCCCAAGAGUUCAUAUCGACGGCGGUGUUUGGCACCUCGAUGUCGGCUCAUCACAUCCUGGGGCUGAAGUAGGUCCCAAGGGUAUGGCUGUUCGCCAUUUAAAGUGGUACGCGAGCUGGGUUUAGAACGUCGUGAGACAGUUCGGUCCCUAUCUGCCGUGGGCGCUGGAGAACUGAGGGGGGCUGCUCCUAGUACGAGAGGACCGGAGUGGACGCAUCACUGGUGUUCGGGUUGUCAUGCCAAUGGCACUGCCCGGUAGCUAAAUGCGGAAGAGAUAAGUGCUGAAAGCAUCUAAGCACGAAACUUGCCCCGAGAUGAGUUCUCCCUGACUCCUUGAGAGUCCUGAAGGAACGUUGAAGACGACGACGUUGAUAGGCCGGGUGUGUAAGCGCAGCGAUGCGUUGAGCUAACCGGUACUAAUGAACCGUGAGGCUUAACCUU